Molecule: long non-coding RNA, 688 nt
Organism: Alexandromys fortis (reed vole)
Lineage: Eukaryota; Metazoa; Chordata; Mammalia; Rodentia; Cricetidae
Exons: 4
Source: RefSeq, a predicted model, not a curated record
AAAAGAUAGGUGGGCGGAAUAAACAGGAUAGGAUGCUGGGCGGAAGAGGAAGUGAGGUCAGACUCUGCUCUGCUUCCGGAGAGAGAGCCGACAGCUCGGGAGCAGAGACGCCAUGCUCAGCUCUCCCAGGCAACUCCAACCCACGAUGGACUUAGGCUAGAAUCUUCCCGAGGUCUCCUUUGCUUCAACAUUGAGCUGGGUUUGGAAGCAUCAGAUGAAAUGCUGUGGGAGCAGAUGCCCUGCUGUUGAUUUGGAAGGAGAAAGUAACCAGGGAACCUUGGAAGCUGCUUGACAUGAGGCAUCUGGGAGCACACACCCUCCAGGUACACAGGCAAGACUGAUAUCAAACUAGUGAUGCUGUCUUGUCUGGAGCUUCCGCUCACUUGAUGACUCCCAAACUUCCACUCAGGCUGUGUGUGUCUUUACAAACUUGCAGACGAAGAAAGGUCUAUCUUAUAUUUAAAUUCAAUAUAAUCAUUGGUGACCCAUGUGAAAGGUCCAUUCAACCCUGAAAGGGGUCGUGACCUACAGACCGAGAACCACGGCUCUAAAGCAUCAGCGUUCACUGGAGUUAUUAAACUUUCCCAGAAGAUGCUUAGCAACAUCUGGAGAUGCUGAGGUUAUGGCAAUUAGAGAGAUGGUAUGAAGAAGCAGCCCAACUUCAUUUUGUUCUGGGGAGCCAUUUGGA